AGUUUGAUCCUGGCUCAGGAUGAACGCUAGCGGCAGGCUUAACACAUGCAAGUCGAGGGGCAGCACGGGUAGCAAUACCUGGUGGCGACCGGCGAAAGGGUGAGUAACGCGUGAGCAACGUGCCCGUAUGUGGGGGAUAGUCGAUGGAAACGUCGCGUAAUACCCCGUAACACAAGGAACCGCAUGAUUCUUUGUUGAAAGAUUUAUUGCAUACGGAUCGGCUCGCGUGCCAUUAGCUAGUUGGCGGGGUAACGGCCCACCAAGGCGACGAUGGCUAGGGGUUCUGAGAGGAAGGUCCCCCACAUUGGAACUGAGACACGGUCCAGACUCCUACGGAGGCAGCAGUGAGGAAUAUUGGACAAUGGCCGGAAGGCUGAUCCAGCCAUGCCGCGUGCGGGAGGACGGCCCUAUGGGUUGUAAACCGCUUUUGCGGGGAGCAAUAAGGUGCACGUGUGCACCGAUGAGAGUACCCUGCGAAUAAGCAUCGGCUAACUCCGUGCC
This 501-nucleotide ribosomal RNA is filed under the name uncultured bacterium. RNAcentral describes it as "bacterial SSU rRNA". It matches the Rfam family "Bacterial small subunit ribosomal RNA", at positions 10 to 509 of the family's 1533-position model. The record is from RNAcentral.